GAGUUGUUAGCUCAGUGGUCAGAGCGACAGGGAUAUAACCUGGGGUCGUAGGUUCGAAUCCUAUACAAUUCA
This 72-nucleotide transfer RNA is filed under the name Exophiala sideris. RNAcentral describes it as "tRNA-Ile (TAT) (tRNA-Ile-TAT-2-1)". It matches the Rfam family "tRNA". Rfam says of the family: Transfer RNA (tRNA) molecules are approximately 80 nucleotides in length. Their secondary structure includes four short double-helical elements and three loops (D, anti-codon, and T loops). The record is from RNAcentral. Lineage: Eukaryota; Fungi; Ascomycota; Eurotiomycetes; Chaetothyriales; Herpotrichiellaceae.